UACACAGAGAAAUCGGAUUGAGUCGGGUCGGGUCGGGUAGGUUCCGAGGAGUUGCCACCUCGUCUGUGGCGUCGUGGUUGCGCUUGGGAGUGGUGAGAGAGGCAGAGCGUGGUAGGGGAGCGGCGGCCGCGGCGGCGGCGGCGGUACGAGGCCGAGGCAGCGCCGCAGGAGCGGGUCCAGGAGAGCAGAGAGAGGCGGAGAAGGCAUGGGGGAGAGGUGGCGGAGUAGAGGCGGCGCCGCGGGCGGUAGAGGGGUUUGGGAUCGAAGCGGCACCUCCUCAUGGAGCAGAGGUGGACGCCGGAGUGGGCUGGUGUCCGGGAGUUCCGGAGGCGGUUCGAGAGGGUGGAGUUCAGGGGGCGUUUAGGGCUGCAGCACGAACGGAAGGAGCGGCUGGAGCCGGAGAGGCUGCGGCUACAGCGGCGGGAGCAGCGGUUCCUGGGCGUCUAGGAGACGCGGUCGCACCUCUCUUGGGACCGCGGGCAGCAGCGGCCCGAGAGACCGGAGCCGAAUAGCGCAAGGCUGUAGCGCGCGGAGCGGAGCGAGAGGGCAUCGUCGAAGGCGAUAUCUAGGUAGCAGAGGUUCGACGUCAUGAUGUACGGAGAGAAACCCAGGAAACUCUUAGAGGAGGCUCGGGAGUUCUCCUUGAAGAUGGAAGUGAGCCGACUGGAGCUACUACACCAGUUCGGGUUGCAGCGCAACGACGCCCUCACGCCCGAUCCACGAACACUAUAACGGUUCGAUACGUAGUCAUUUGGUACCGAAGAGCGGCGGUUGGACCUCGCACAGGUCCGCUACCACCUUACGCGACUUUUGUAUCCACACGGGGCACGGAGACCUUACAAGUCCGUACGCGACGUGCGACAACGUAAAGAGUCGCUCCUGUUCUAGCGUCGGUCCCACUUGAUGAACUUCUUGUGGAAGUCCACCUGCCUACGACUCCAUCCGUACCGACAAAGAUUCAUAGGUUGCCACGACUUAUCCUGAUUCCUCAAAGACGUCUCUUCCAGUCUCAAGGACUAGAGACUAAACCCCAACCUUGGCCGUAUGUAACGAGUAGCGGGCGAUUACGAGCGUAUGUCGGACCUCCCCUCCGAUUCCGGGGCUAUGAUGCAACAUUGAAAAGAAUUCCUCUUACCUAACGAUCUAGUACCAGCUCUAAUGAUAAUACGUCAAUUCUACUGACUCUUCCAUAAGUACUUCUUCAAGUAUACGGGAGUGUUCCUGCGACGUGGUAUGGAACGACUUCUGAUACAUCGUCGAACGUCUCCCCUUAACGGCGGAUCUAAGUCUAAAUGUACUUCGUUCCUUUCCGAUACCUUUAACCAUUGACACGGCGGAUUUGCUCCGUCUUCUGACCAGAGCGAAGCCCCGUGUGACGUCUGCGUAUCCAACGUCGGCCCUAAUGAUAAUGUGUCAGUUCCACUGGCCCUUCCUUAGAUACCUCUUCAAGUAUACGGGAGUGUUCCUUCGACGUGGUGUGGAGUGACUUCUAAUACGCCGUCGGACCUUUCCACUUCACGGCUGAUCUAAGUCUAAACGGACUUGGUUCUGACCAGAGCCUCCUGAUUGAAAUUUGGGGAGAAAGGUUACUUUACUUCGCGUUCGGGGGAAACGCAAAAGAGCUAAAAAAAAAGGAUUGACGUAUACCUCUUGUUUUAAAAGUGAGAGGCAUAAUCCGAUAAGUAAGGACUAAGUCACAACAACCGACGAUAGAUAUUAGAUAACAUACAGACAAUCUGACAAUGUACGAGUAAACCGUCACGAUUAAGUCCUACUGUGACUAUAAAUAAAUCCCCUCUACUUUGACUAUUAAACCAAACACUCAGAACCACACAAGUAAUACGGUAAAUCAUCUGUUCUUUCGUAACGUAACGACACUUGAACAGGAAACAGUAAAGUAUAACUGUACGUAUAACCUUGAUUCUCUCACUCUAGUAACGUAGGAUGUUGACAAAA
This 1956-nucleotide ribosomal RNA is filed under the name Triticum aestivum (bread wheat). RNAcentral describes it as "partial small subunit ribosomal RNA". Lineage: Eukaryota; Viridiplantae; Streptophyta; Magnoliopsida; Poales; Poaceae. The record is from RNAcentral.